GGGCCUGUAGUUUAGUGGUUUAAAACGCACUGCUCAUAACUGUGUUAUCAAAGGUUCAACUCCUUUCAGGCUCA
This 74-nucleotide transfer RNA is filed under the name Reclinomonas americana ATCC 50284. RNAcentral's name for it is "tRNA-Ile". It matches the Rfam family "tRNA". From Rfam's summary of the family: Transfer RNA (tRNA) molecules are approximately 80 nucleotides in length. Their secondary structure includes four short double-helical elements and three loops (D, anti-codon, and T loops). Lineage: Eukaryota; Jakobea; Jakobida; Histionidae. The record is from RNAcentral.